GACGAACGCUGGCGGCGUGCGUAACACAUGCAAGUCGAGCGGAGAUAUUAGUAAUAGUAUCUUAGCGGCGGACGGGUGAGUAACGCGUGGGCAACCUACCUCAAACUGGGGGAUAACACAGGGAAACUUGUGCUAAUACCGCAUAACAUCAUGAAAUGACAUCAUUUUAUGAUCAAAGGAGAAAUCCGGUGAGAGAUGGGCCCGCGUCCAAUUAGCUAGUUGGUGAGGUAACGGCCCACCAAGGCGACGAUUGGUAGCCGAACUGAGAGGUUGAUCGGCCACAUUGGGACUGAGACACGGCCCAGACUCCUACGGGAGGCAGCAGUGGGGAAUAAUGCGCAAUGGGGGAAACCCUGACGCAGCAACGCCGCGUGAAGGAUGAAGGUUUUCGGAUUGUAAACUUCUUUGAUGAGGGACGAAUAAAUGACGGUACCUCAAAAACAAGCCACGGCUAACUACGUGCCAGCAGCCGCGGUAAUACGUANGUGGCGAGCGUUGUCCGGAAUUACUGGGUGUAAAGGGCGUGUAGGCGGGAAUGCAAGUCAGAUGUGAAAUGCCAGACAAAAAAAAACUUCGGAGCUGCAUCUGAAACUGCGUUUCUUGAGUGUCGGAGAGGAAGUGGAAUCCCCAGUGUAGCGGUGAAAUGCGUANAUAUGGGGAGGAACACCAGUGGCGAAGGCGACUUUCUGGACGAUAACUGACGCUGAGGCGCGAAAGCGUGGGGACCAAACNGGAUUAAAUACCCUGGUAAUUCACCCCCGUAAACGAUGGAUACUAGGUGUUGGAGGUAUCAACCCCUUCGUGGCCGCAUUAACCCAUUAGUAUUCCCCCUGGGAGUCGGCCCAAGGUAAACCUCAAGGAAUGAC
This 866-nucleotide ribosomal RNA is filed under the name uncultured Clostridiaceae bacterium. Its description in RNAcentral is "bacterial SSU rRNA". It matches the Rfam family "Bacterial small subunit ribosomal RNA", at positions 28 to 914 of the family's 1533-position model. Lineage: Bacteria; Bacillati; Bacillota; Clostridia; Eubacteriales; Clostridiaceae. The record is from RNAcentral.